CAUGCUCGCCUCCCAGUUCGCUCGUCGCCUUCUCUGUUUUCCUGCUCAACGGGCUUGCUUCUCCACCUCCCC
This 72-nucleotide non-coding RNA is filed under the name Paramoeba aestuarina. Lineage: Eukaryota; Discosea; Flabellinia; Dactylopodida; Paramoebidae. The record is from RNAcentral.